GCCGAUGUGGCUCAGGGGUAGAGCAGCUGAUUCGUAAUCAGCAGGUCGGCGGUUCGAAUCCGCCCAUCGGCUCCA
RNAcentral lists this transfer RNA (75 nucleotides) under Firmicutes bacterium HGW-Firmicutes-15. RNAcentral describes it as "tRNA-Thr". It matches the Rfam family "tRNA". Rfam says of the family: Transfer RNA (tRNA) molecules are approximately 80 nucleotides in length. The record is from RNAcentral. RNAcentral also lists the same sequence under 1 other name. Lineage: Bacteria; Bacillati; Bacillota.